Orussus abietinus is the source of this 960-nucleotide RNA transcript. It is a transcript of the gene named coiled-coil domain-containing protein 25, with no coding region annotated. The transcript is spliced from 6 exons. The record is from RefSeq and is a predicted model, not a curated record. Lineage: Eukaryota; Metazoa; Arthropoda; Insecta; Hymenoptera; Orussidae.
UAUUCAUUGCGCGUGAAUACUCACGAUUCAAAACUUGAGGAGAAAAUGAGAAUGGUGAGGUUAGAGGUUGUUUUUGACAGACAACGCAAAUACACGUGAUCACGAUAUAACGAUAAACAGUCAUGGUAUUUUACUUCACAAGUGAUGUGGUCCAACCCCCAGUGACACUUUUUAUGGGUGUUGAUAAGUUUGAAAAUGAAGACCUUAUAAAAUGGGGAUGGCCAGAAGAUGUUUGGUUUCACGUUGCGAAGUUCUCCUCAGCACAUGUUUAUUUGAGGCUAAGACAUGGUCAAACAAUAGAUGACAUACCAAGUACAGUCUUAGAAGAUGCUGCACAAUUGGUCAAGGCAAAUAGUAUCGAGGGUAACAAGAUGAACGAUGUUGAUGUUGUUUAUACUAUGUGGUCCAAUCUAAAGAAAACUCAAGGAAUGGAAGUUGGUCAGGUGGGAUUUCAUCGAGAUAAAGACGUUAGGAAGAUACAUGUAGCCAAACGAAUUAAUACUAUUGUAAAUCGACUGAUCAAGACCAAGCGGUCUGAAGAGGUGAAUUUUAGAGCAGAGAAAGAGCAAAGAGAUAGAAUCGAGAGAGAAGAUAAGAAAAAGAUUUUGAGGGAACAAAAAGAAAAAGAGAAAGCUGAAGAGAAGAAGCGGCAAGACGAAGCUGAAAUGAGGAGUUACAAUUCUCUGUUUAAUUCAACCAAUAUGACAUCAAACACCGAGAACACUGGCUAUGACUCGGAUGACUUCAUGUGAUGGAUAUUAUGGUGCGUCAAUCUACUGACAGUCUCUUGACCAAUAUUCAACUUUAAUUUUAUGAUUCUCAGGCAUGAAAACUGGUGUGUCUACUUCAUGAUGUGGAAGGAUGAUUCUUCCGAUCCUAGCUUUCGAAGAAGAGCACUCAGCAAAAACCUCAAAAGUCAGUGGCAAUCGUUUCUCCAUUGCCAUUUUUGGCUGCAAACAA